This 276-nucleotide long non-coding RNA is filed under the name Cottoperca gobio. RNAcentral's name for it is "lncRNA (ENSCGOG00000004990.1)". Lineage: Eukaryota; Metazoa; Chordata; Actinopteri; Perciformes; Bovichtidae. The record is from RNAcentral.
GGCACAUCUCAUGGUCCGUGUCAGCGCUGGAGUUUGAGAUGAGAUUGGAUUGAAAGCUCUGAAAAAUAGAAAUGUGAAUGGAAAUGGGCCAUGGAGCCUGGGCGGGACGGCUGGGAGGAGAGAUGGCGGCCAGAGUGGCACGCUGACUGGAGGAGUGCCAGCCCCUCUCAACCAGCAUGCGACAGGCGUGGACAGUAAUGGCUGUGUGAUUGGGCUGCACUGGAUGAUGAUUUUAAUAAACACACACACACAGAGGAGGCCACAGGUCAACGGUGU